ACUUUCCAGGCAGUCUCCCUCCGCCUCCCGGUGAGGAGCCUUUACUGGGGGUCCUCUUCGCUCUUGGAGGUCUGUAACGAGGGCUCCGGCACCCCCUAAUCCCCGCCGAAGGGCCUGGCUCAGGGGGGGAGGGGGGCAGCUCCCAGUGACAGGUGGAAGGGAUUUCUCCGGAGCCCCCAGACAAUGGCUGCUGCGGGCAGCUUCUGUUUGCAUUAAGGCUUUGGCAGCAAUCGGUUAAUUACGGGGCUAGCAGCAAAUGUCAGAAGGUGCUGGAAGGCAGUGGAAAAGGAAUAAAGCCCCCGCCAAGCGCUAAGGAGCUUCCUUCCCGGCGGGGGCGGGGGGAGCACAUUUUACAGUGACCUCCAGAGAGUCCUACGGGUACAUCCAUCCCGGCCACUGGCAAGCACCAGAGACAGCCAGAGGAGUCCAGGGAGCCUUCUAAUCAGAGAAGAAUCUCGGCUGGGCGCUGCUCGAUGCUCUCCACCACGUGCCAAGCCCAAGUCAGGCCCUGCCCUGGAGGAGCUCCCCAAGAUCCUGGGGCAGCAGCCCAGCACGCACACCAAGAAGGUUGUACACAACACAACUUGGGAGAGCAGAACCCAAAAGCAAGCAUCAUGGAUCCAGGGUCCCCAAAGAAACAGAAGAGAUCAGAAAACCCCAAUAUGGAAGGUAAAGGAAGAAGACGGCGGUGAUGGUGGUGGUGAUGACGAUGACGAAGAAGAAGAAGAGGAAGAAGGAAAGAAGGUGGCAGGAGAAUACAUACUGUCUUGGGAAUAUUUUCAUCAAAAAUGGCCAAAAUAAAGACAUGUUUGUCCCUAAAAGGACCAAGGUUCAAUUACAUGGAAAGUUCUUCCAUGGAA
This is a non-coding RNA of Monodelphis domestica (gray short-tailed opossum), 860 nucleotides long. The record is from RefSeq and is a predicted model, not a curated record. NCBI's taxonomy places the organism in Eukaryota, Metazoa, Chordata, Mammalia, Didelphimorphia, Didelphidae.